Oenanthe melanoleuca is the source of this 2216-nucleotide long non-coding RNA. RefSeq lists it as uncharacterized. Lineage: Eukaryota; Metazoa; Chordata; Aves; Passeriformes; Muscicapidae. The record is from RefSeq and is a predicted model, not a curated record. The transcript is spliced from 3 exons.
CUGACAGACUUUAGACCUUGGAGGAAUAUCACCAAGAUUUGUGAGUGCCAAGAAAGGAGUCAGUGGCUGAGGAAGACUACUCGCCCUCAUCCCCCGACCACCAGAAGGCAGAAAAAGACCCCCUAGCAACUGGAGGAGCAUGCGCAGAAUUACUAAAGGAGGAGCACGUCACCCAAAAACCUAACAGCUUAAAAGGAACAGACUAAGGGGGGGUGGGCGCAGCAGGUGGUGGAGUGGAGACUCCCCUGCUGUCCAGCGCUGAAUUUGCUUUUGCUUUCUGUAACCAAUAAAUCUUUAAAUUGUUAUUUGACCUUAUAUGGCCCAUUGCGCUCAUUUAUAACAAAUUUGGUGCCGUACUCGGAUCGAGAUUUUGGAGGGGCUCUCUGCCUGCGGGGAGGCGCGCCCCACCAUUUUGGUGGCCCCGGGGACGGGAGUCCUAUCCCAACCUCGACCGACGAACCUAAAAUUAAGAAAGCAAAAGCAAAGGUAGGAGGGCCCAGUUGACCCCUUAAAUUUUGUGCACAAAGUCCGGACGAAGACGCAGGACGCGUUCAGCCCGGGGACUGGGUACUGGUCCGAAGUUGGAAGGAAAAUCCGAUAACACCCAAGUGGGAAGGACCUUACCAGGUGUUGCUUACAACAGACACAGCAGUACGCACUGUGGAAAAAGGGUGGACUCACGCAAGCCGAAUCAAGGGACCAGUAGAUCCGUCUAAAUUCACCAACGACCCUGGGUGGGAAGUGAAGGGCACACCUGGGAGCCUGAAACUGACACUUAAGAAGCGAGUAAGCUCUAAUUAAAAGACAAAUUACAUUAUUCUCACCCCACCACAGGUAUGAGACUUUUUCCACAUGGGAGAUAGACUGUGGGAUCCAACAUACUAUUCUUUCCUAGUAGAGCUCCGAGCAACAGGAGCACCAGUGGGGGGGGGGGAAGAUCUGCUGAAUGCAGCAGUAAAAAUAAGAUGUAAUGCUGAAAAUUGCUGGGGAAAUUGUAACCCUUUUGUAUGCUUUAUUUGUUUAGUUUGUAAGGAGGAGUGGUGGACCCAUUGCAGCAACAGUUACCCUCCAAGGGGAGUGUGUAAAAAUUGUUAUUCGGACCAAAGGCUACUCACCUCUCAGGUCCUGGCUACCAAAGUGGCUGCCAGAGAACUUUUAAGAGGGUCUGAAGAGUGGUGGAAAAUUUUUACAAAGGGGAUAAACCCCCAGUUUUAUUGUUAUCACUCUAAUGAACCUGCCCCAUUUGUGGCUAGGAUAGUAGCCGCCUUGUGCAGACGGUGGGUACCUGAACUCAGUUGCUAUACCCCUCAAAUUAAGAACCGCAAGUGGUAUAAAUACAUAAAACGUAUCAAAAAGCAUGGGUCAAACACCCCUCCUGAAGAAUACUCCUGCUGCCGAGAAGAUGGAACUCCCCAUAGCUCGUAGCAACCGAGUUGAUGGGCAAGGCAGAGGAGAUGAGAGCAGUGGAGGGGGGAGCCCGAGCAAAAGGGGAAAACGAGGAACAGGUACCCAGAGCCGUCGAAAGUCCAAGGGAAAAGAAAAGUCUGAGGUAAAUGGGAAGGAAAAUAAAAAAGGCAGUUGUGGAAAAUGGGGAAGCUACCACCUCCAAUUAGGAAUCUUAUAUAUAAUGCUUUUGAGAUCUGCGCUUGCAAGCCAUGAACCCUUUAAAUGGUCACUAAUACAAUGGGAAGGUCAGAAGGAAAUUCAAACACAAAUUACUUCGAAAGGUCCUAGCUUUAACAUAACCCUGGAUGACCUACUUGAUAGGACGGGUUCUAGCCCCUAUAGUGUAUUCUACAUGUGUCCAGCAUCUAACCCAGGGAGGUCAUACUGUAACUACCCCGGAGAAUUUUACUGUGGAUAUUGGGGCUGUGAAACAAUUUCCCUGGGAUGGUCGGUUCAAAUCCAAGAUAAAUACUUAAGGGUUGAAAGAGGUCCACAUGGAUGUAAAAAGCCUUGGACAGAUCCGUCAGGGGUGGUGACUUAUAUCGGUACUUGCAAAUGGGUCUAUCUUAACGUCACGCAACCCCAAGACCCAGGAUGGGUAGUAGGAAAAUUCUGGGGAGUUAGAAUAUGGGAACCCGGGAAAGACCGGGGGGGGCAUAUUGUUAUAAAGAAGGAAAUUGUACCCCACGAUCCUCAGCCUGUUGGACCGAAUCCUGCAAUAACAGACUCAGAAGCCACAAUAAUAAAUCAAGGUGAUUUAGACAGCAUGA